GAUGAACGCUGGCGGCGUGCCUAAUACAUGCAAGUCGAGCGAACAGAUAAGGAGCUUGCUCCUUUGACGUUAGCGGCGGACGGGUGAGUAACACGUGGGUAACCUACCUAUAAGACUGGGAUAACUUCGGGAAACCGGAGCUAAUACCGGAUAAUAUUUCGAACCGCAUGGUUCGAUAGUGAAAGAUGGUUUUGCUAUCACUUAUAGAUGGACCCGCGCCGGAUUAGCUAGUUGGUAAGGUAACGGCUUACCAAGGCGACGAUACGUAGCCGACCUGAGAGGGUGAUCGGCCACACUGGAACUGAGACACGGUCCAGACUCCUACGGGAGGCAGCAGUAGGGAAUCUUCCGCAAUGGGCGAAAGCCUGACGGAGCAACGCCGCGUGAGUGAUGAAGGUCUUCGGAUCGUAAAACUCUGUUAGUAGGGAAGAACAUACGUGUAAGUAACUGUGCACGUCUUGACGGUACCUAAUCAGAAAGCCACGGCUAACUACGUG
Molecule: ribosomal RNA, 497 nt
Filed under: uncultured bacterium
Lineage: Bacteria
Description: partial 16S ribosomal RNA
Rfam family: Bacterial small subunit ribosomal RNA
Source: RNAcentral